Molecule: ribosomal RNA, 453 nt
Filed under: uncultured Prevotellaceae bacterium
Lineage: Bacteria; Pseudomonadati; Bacteroidota; Bacteroidia; Bacteroidales; Prevotellaceae
Description: partial 16S ribosomal RNA
Rfam family: Bacterial small subunit ribosomal RNA
Source: RNAcentral
ACGGGAGGCAGCAGUGAGGAAUAUUGGUCAAUGGUCGGAAGACUGAACCAGCCAAGUCGCGUGCAGGAAGACGGUCCUAUGGAUUGUAAACUGCUUUUGUACGGGAAUAAAGUGCGGGACGUGUCCCGUUUGGAAUGUACCGUAAGAAUAAGGAUCGGCUAAUUCCGUGCCAGCAGCCGCGGUAAUACGGAAGAUCCGAGCGUUAUCCGGAUUUAUUGGGUUUAAAGGGAGCGUAGGCGGGCCUUUAAGUCAGUGGUCAAAGCGUGUGGCUCAACCAUACCACGCCGUUGAUACUGGAGGCCUUGAGUGCACAUAAGGAUGGUGGAAUUCAUGGUGUAGCGGUGAAAUGCUUAGAUAUCAUGAAGAACUCCGAUUGCGAAGGCAGCUGUCCGGGGUGUAACUGACGCUAAUGCUCGAAAGUGCGGGUAUCAAACAGGAUUAGAUACCCUGGUA